Molecule: transfer RNA, 66 nt
Filed under: Phyllothelys shaanxiense
Lineage: Eukaryota; Metazoa; Arthropoda; Insecta; Mantodea; Hymenopodidae
Also listed under: 1 other name
Description: tRNA-Met
Source: RNAcentral
AGAAAAGUAAGCUAAAUUUAAGCUAAUGGGUUCAUACCCCAAAUAUAGAGAAUACUCUCUUUUCUA